Molecule: ribosomal RNA, 253 nt
Filed under: uncultured bacterium
Lineage: Bacteria
Description: partial 16S ribosomal RNA
Rfam family: Bacterial small subunit ribosomal RNA
Source: RNAcentral
UACGAAGGAUCCAAGCGUUGUCCGGAUUUACUGGGUUUAAAGGGUGCGUAGGCGGACUUUUAAGUCAGGGGUGAAAUCCUGGAGCUCAACUCCAGAACUGCCUUUGAUACUGAAGAUCUUGAGUUCGGGAGAGGUGAGUGGAACUGCGAGUGUAGAGGUGAAAUUCGUAGAUAUUCGCAAGAACACCAGUGGCGAAGGCGGCUCACUGGCCCGAUACUGACGCUGAGGCACGAAAGCGUGGGGAGCAAACAGG